GAAUCCCGUCUUUGACACGGACUGCCUGCAUGUUAUGGUGCGCUCUCAAAGAGUCGAGUUGUUUGGGAAUGCAGCUCAAAAUGGGUGGUAAAUGCCAUCUAAAGCUAAAUAUUGGCGAGAGACCGAUAGCGAACAAGUACCGUGAGGGAAAGAUGAAAAGAACUUUGGAAAGAGAGUUAAACAGUACGUGAAAUUGCUGAAAGGGAAACGCUUGAAGUCAGUCGCGUCGGCUAGAAAUCAACCUUGCUUUUGCUUGGUGUACUUUCUUGUUGAUGGGUCAGCAUCAAUUUUGACCGUUGGAUAAAGUCGUUGGGAAUGUGGCAUCUUAGGAUGUGUUAUAGCCCAUCGUCGCAUACAGCGGUUGGGAUUGAGGAACUCAGCACGCCCUUCUGGGGACGGGUUUCGACCACGUUUCGUGCUUAGGAUGCUGGCAUAAUGGCUUUAAUCGACCCGUCUUGAAACACGGACCAAGGAGUCUAACAUGCCUGCGAGUGUUCGGGUGGAAAACCCGUGCGCGCAAUGAAAGUGAAAGUUGGGACCUCUGUCGUGGAGGGCACCGACGCCCGGACCAGACCUUCUGUGACGGUUCUGCGGUAGAGCAUGUAUGUUAGGACCCGAAAGAUGGUGAACUAUGCCUGAAUAGGGUGAAGCCGGAGGAAACUCUGGUGGAGGCUCGUAGCGAUUCUGACGUGCAAAUCGAUCGUCAAAUUUGGGUAUAGGGGCGAAAGACUAAUCGAACCAUCUAGUAGCUGGUUCCUGCC
This 761-nucleotide ribosomal RNA is filed under the name uncultured Inocybe. RNAcentral describes it as "partial 28S ribosomal RNA". It matches the Rfam family "Eukaryotic large subunit ribosomal RNA", at positions 216 to 962 of the family's 3401-position model. Lineage: Eukaryota; Fungi; Basidiomycota; Agaricomycetes; Agaricales; Cortinariaceae. The record is from RNAcentral.